CUCUGUCCACGUUGAGGGGUUGGACACAGGGGGCGGGGAGCAAGGCAUCUCCCUCCACUUUUUUUGGUAAGUUAGUCGAUAACCGUCCGGCCUCCUCAAGAUUUCUCCGCAGUGUCGAAGCGCUGGAUACCGCUGCAAUCGUCAGGCCAUCCGCGAGGCGCCAGAUCUAGCAGAAAGGGAAUACACCACCGUUAGGAAGGUGAUUUCUUUGACGCCAAUCUGGUCGUAGGAGCAUGGCUUUCCUACAUCGUAGCUACCUCUUGUAUUGGGUGUCGGCGCCGUCAUGACUGGCAACAUCGGUCGUGGGUGUGUAGUCACAGUUGCGGGAUUGUCGACCGAGGCGGUGGAAUCUAGGAGCGUGCCGCCGAGGACAAUGGCAUUGGGGCUCUGGAUCGGCUGCGACGUGCUGCAGAUGAGCUAACACAUAGUACAUAUGCUUGUACAUCUAUUAUCGGAUGGGCCAGGACCUUCUACCUCGGUUAGAGUGCCAGGAACAAGAGGAUGCAGCUGGUUGUGCCCCUCUCUAUCUACAUGCUCGCCUCUAUGAUUUUGUGUCUGAAGCCACUGCUUUCACGAACAUUGUCGUCUCCUGUGCUGGUGAGAACUUGGCAGACUCCUCAAGUCACAUCUCCCCCUCCCUUGUUAAAUUGUGUGCUAGAGUUUCUUCCCUUUCUUUGCGUCAGAUAAGAAAUAUGUGGUAGCGUAUAAGUUGAAAUACAAAGGAUGGACCGGAAGCUCAAUUAAAGCAUUGGAUUGAAGAAAGCACUCCCUGAAUUCUGGUUGCACUUUAUAAUGGAAGGCCUGCUGAUGGAAAGAUCAACUAAUGAUGGAAUCCCCCAAAGGUCGAUAAACUGAAAGUUUUGCAUAUUCCCUUUUGUAAUUCACCCUCCAAAGGAAAGAGAAGGUGUAUUGUGGAGCUUCCAUACAAUUUUUCUAUAUUUGUAUUAGACUGGUCAGAUACCUCAUUGAUGAUUUUAUUUCAGUGUAUAUCUUUGCCAAUGUAAAGUGCAAAGUGUACUCUUGGUAUUGCCUUCAUUGCAAAAUUCAAUGUAACGUUCGUGGUGUGUCCAGUAAAGAUGUUGUGCCGUUUUUGGGCCAUUUAAGUA
Long non-coding RNA from Lolium rigidum, 1106 nucleotides. RefSeq lists it as uncharacterized. The record is from RefSeq and is a predicted model, not a curated record. Lineage: Eukaryota; Viridiplantae; Streptophyta; Magnoliopsida; Poales; Poaceae. The transcript has 5 exons.